GGCGACUGCGUGGCAGCACGGGCCGCUUCCUUAUCCGGUUAUUGGGGAAGCUGGUGGUGUUUGGUUACAUGAGUAAGUUCUUUUGUGGUGAUUUGUGAGAUUUCAUUGCACCCAUUGCCCAAGCAGUAUACACUGAACCCUAUUUGUAGUCUUUGCUCCCUCACCCCCUUCCCACCCUUUCCCCCUGAUUCCCCAAGUCCAUUGUGUCAUUCUUAUUGCGGGAAGUCAAGAACCCCAAACGGAGGGACCAGCUGAAGCUGCAGCAGAAGAACAUAAAUUGUGAAGAUUUCAUGGACAUUUAUUAGUUCCCAGAAUUAAUACUUUUAUAAUUUCUUAUGCCUGUCUUACUUUAAUCUCUUAAUCCCAUCAUCUUCAUAAGCUGAGGAUGUGUGUUGCCUCAGGACCCUGUGAUGAUUGCAUUAACGGUACAAAUUGUGUGUAAAACAUAUGUGUUUGAACAAUAUGAAACUGAUUGUAAAACAUGGGUGUUUGAACAAUAUGAAAUCAGUGCACCCUGAAAAAGAACAGAAUAACAGUGAUUUUCAGGGAACGAGGGAGGAUAAAGGUCUGACUGCCUGUGGGGUCAGGCAGAAUACAGCCAUAUUUUUCUUUCUGCAGAAAGCGAGUAGGAGAAAUAUCACUGAAUUCUUUUCUCAGCAAGGAAUAAACCUGGGGAAGGAAUGCAUUCUUGGGGGGAGGUCUAUAGAUGGCCACUCUGGGAGUGUCUGUCUUAUGCGGUUGAGAUAAGGGCUGAAAUACGCCCUGGUCUCUUGCAGUACCCUCAGGCUUACUGGGAUUGGAAAAUUCCAGCCUGGUAAAUUCUAGUCAGACCAGUUCUCUGCUUUCGAACCCUGUUUCCUGUUAAGAUGUUUAUCAAGACAAUGCAUGCACAGUGGGACAUAGACCUCCAUCAGUAUUUCUAAUUUUGCCUUGCCUUGUGAUCUUUAUUGCCCGUUGAAGCAUGUAAUCCUUGUGACCUACUCCCUGUUUGUACACCCCCUCCCUUUCUAAAAUCCCUAAUAAAAACUUGCUGAUUUUGCGGCUCGGCGUCACCAUCAUGGUCCUACUAAUAUGUGAUGGCACUCCCGGAGGCCCAGCUGUAAAAUUU
This 1108-nucleotide long non-coding RNA is filed under the name Homo sapiens (human). Its description in RNAcentral is "HSALNT0319516". Lineage: Eukaryota; Metazoa; Chordata; Mammalia; Primates; Hominidae. The record is from RNAcentral.